GAGGGUAUAGCUCAGUUGUAGAGCAUAUGCUUAGUGUGCACGAGGUCCUGGGUUCAACCCCCAGUACCUCCA
Molecule: transfer RNA, 72 nt
Filed under: Camelus bactrianus (Bactrian camel)
Lineage: Eukaryota; Metazoa; Chordata; Mammalia; Artiodactyla; Camelidae
Also listed under: 2 other names
Rfam family: tRNA
About the family: Transfer RNA (tRNA) molecules are approximately 80 nucleotides in length. Their secondary structure includes four short double-helical elements and three loops (D, anti-codon, and T loops).
Source: Rfam by way of RNAcentral